UAGGCUGCAACUCGCCUACACGAAGUUGGAAUUGCUAGUAAUCGUGGAUCAGCAUGCCACGGUGAAUACGUUCCCGGGUCUUGUACACACCGCCCGUCACACCAUGAGAGUUGGGAAUACCCGAAGCCUGUGAGCUAACUUAUAGAGGCAGCAGUCGAAGGUAGAAUCAAUGAUUGGGGUGAAGUCGUAACAAGGUAUC
RNAcentral lists this ribosomal RNA (199 nucleotides) under uncultured bacterium. Its description in RNAcentral is "partial 16S ribosomal RNA". It matches the Rfam family "Bacterial small subunit ribosomal RNA", at positions 1301 to 1500 of the family's 1533-position model. The record is from RNAcentral.